Molecule: ribosomal RNA, 466 nt
Filed under: uncultured bacterium
Lineage: Bacteria
Description: partial 16S ribosomal RNA
Rfam family: Bacterial small subunit ribosomal RNA
Source: RNAcentral
GACGAACGCUGGCGGCGUGCUUAACACAUGCAAGUCGAACGGAAAGGCCCUGCUUUUGUGGGGUGCUCGAGUGGCGAACGGGUGAGUAACACGUGAGUAACCUGCCCUUGACUUUGGGAUAACUUCAGGAAACUGGGGCUAAUACCGGAUAGGAGCUCCUGCUGCAUGGUGGGGGUUGGAAAGUUUCGGCGGUUGGGGAUGGACUCGCGGCUUAUCAGCUUGUUGGUGGGGUAGUGGCUUACCAAGGCUUUGACGGGUAGCCGGCCUGAGAGGGUGACCGGCCACAUUGGGACUGAGAUACGGCCCAGACUCCUACGGGAGGCGGCAGUGGGGAAUAUUGCAAAAUGGGCGGAAGCCUGAUGCAGCAACGCCGCGUGCGGGAUGACGGCCUUCGGGGUGUAAACCGCUUCCGCCUGUGACGAAGCGUGAGUGACGGUAAUGGGUAAAGAAGCACCGGCUAACUACG